Long non-coding RNA from Canis lupus familiaris (dog), 566 nucleotides. RefSeq lists it as uncharacterized. The record is from RefSeq and is a predicted model, not a curated record. Lineage: Eukaryota; Metazoa; Chordata; Mammalia; Carnivora; Canidae. The transcript is spliced from 3 exons.
GUCGGGAGGGAAGCCGGAGCUCUGGAGGCGGAGGCUGAGCGGCUGAGGCGCUGGCGCCGAAGGUGCGCCCCUUGGACGGCUGCUGGGGCGCUUCUCACACUGUGGUAUUUGUGUCUCUGUCUCUCCGCCAGCUGGUUGGCUCCAUUAUCAGGAUUUUCCUAAUGGCCACAAGAUAGUUGCCAGCAAUAUUGGUUCACACUCAACGUGAAAAAGGAAGAUUGGAGCCAUGGGACUGAGUUCUGGCCAAUGGACUCUGGAUGGGAAUGGCAUACAUAUUGAUGGGGUGGCCUGGCCACCUUCUAGUCUUGGAGAGCAGAAGCAAAGUGCUCUGAGAAACUGGAGCCAUCUUGUGAAUAAGCCCUAAUACCUUAGUCACUGCGUGGAGGCAAGCCACCCAGGAGGUCAACUGGAUCCAGGUACACUGGACUUUGUGACACCAGCAACUAAACCUUUGAGGGACGCCUGGGUGGCUCAGUGGUUGAGUGCCUGCCUUUGGCUCAGGUCAUGAUCCUGGGGUCCUGAGAUUGAGUCCCUGCAUCAGGCUCCCCGUAGGGAGCCUGCUUCUC